This 255-nucleotide long non-coding RNA is filed under the name Elaeis guineensis (African oil palm). RNAcentral describes it as "long non-coding RNA (EGUI_LNC045545)". The record is from RNAcentral. Lineage: Eukaryota; Viridiplantae; Streptophyta; Magnoliopsida; Arecales; Arecaceae.
GAGGUAUAGAGUCUAGGGUUUCAACUCUAGAUUUUGUGAGAAAAAAAAUACAAAAGUGAGUCUUGUUCAAUCUCCCACACCAUCACCUCCUUAUAAAGCUUCAUCUUCUGAUUUGAAAGAGUCCGAGAGAUUCGAAGAAAAGAGCUUAGAUCAGCCAUCUAGAGCUUUCAAUGCGAGCUAGCACUCCCGUGAAGGAAGAUCCGAUCAGGACUUCGAGUGGAUGAUCUGUAGAGGCUGAAUGAUCUGUGCGGCUUC